RNAcentral lists this ribosomal RNA (51 nucleotides) under Argemone mexicana. RNAcentral's name for it is "partial 26S ribosomal RNA". Lineage: Eukaryota; Viridiplantae; Streptophyta; Magnoliopsida; Ranunculales; Papaveraceae. The record is from RNAcentral.
UGCGACCCCAGGUCAGGCGGGACUACCCGCUGAAUUUAAGCAUAUCAAUAA